Molecule: long non-coding RNA, 232 nt
Organism: Prionailurus viverrinus (fishing cat)
Lineage: Eukaryota; Metazoa; Chordata; Mammalia; Carnivora; Felidae
Exons: 3
Source: RefSeq, a predicted model, not a curated record
ACCAUGUGAAAACACAGGGAGAAGGUGGCCACCUAUAAGCCAAGGGGAGAGGCCUCGGAAGAAAAAUCAACCCUCCUGAUACCUUGAUCACAGACAUCAAGUUUUCACAACUUUAACUUCUUCAACUCAGCUGGAGCCAAAAGCCAAGAUAUAAGGAAACCGCAGGACAAUGUGAGAAUGUUAAAUAGCAGAUCGUAACACACUUCAGGAUCCACCCGGAUGAAAAAAAGGU